CAAGGAUCGGGCACUCUGACUGAGCCACCCAGGCACCCCAAAACAACUUUUUCUCCCCUAAUACUGAAGACAUCAGCAGAGUUAAGAUGUUCUAAAUGUAACCUCUCAUCUACUCCUAUUAACCUAUGGUGUGCAAAGCAUAUCCUUUUUAAAUUUUGAGGUAGCUGAUUGAAAGAAAAUGUGUGUGUGUGUGUAGUAACUAUUUAAGAGACAUUGUAAAUGAACUCUGUUCUGCAAGUAAAACACAUGAGGAGAAGCAAUCUUUAGUGAGAGGCAGGAAAUUAAAAAAAAAAAAAAAAAAAAAAACCCAUUCCCAUUUUUUAAAACAUCAAGUGCUCUGGAUUAUUCUGACUUAAAAGAGGGAACAUUUACUGCUGAUCACCAUGUGCUCUGUUCAUGCCCUGAAUUCGUGGGGGAGAUCACAACUUUGUCACACGGAGCAGAAGAGAAACAGUUGUCGGAGUUUGACACAUUUUCCAAUAGAAGAAAAAUCCAGUUGCCAACUACAUAUGGGUUCAUUUUGGGUUCCUGGAACUGAUAACACAUCAGCAUGUCUUACGAAACUUGUGCAUGGCAUGUUAUUGCAGCUGUAUAUCAUCAGAGAGAAAAAAAUAAUUGGUUUUCCUUAGAGUAUCUCGAAGUUGAUGUCAUAUUCAAUAACCCUGUAGUUGAAAAAUCUAUAUAUGAUGGAUGAAGUUUGGACUAUCUUGAAUUUAAUUCCUCCUGUGCCAGCUUCUACAGGCCCUGGUCUACCUGUCAUUUUGAGCCGACGAACACACGUGGUUACAGAAGAGCAAACCUCCCCACCUUGGUUUAUGCAUCCCUAAUUUGAAAUGGAGAAGAACUGUUCUGGGAAGAGUACAGGACCGAAUGAAACCGAUCAGGCAGGCUCCGAGAAGUGCCUGGAUGUUGUAAUAACUUGGGUGUCAAGAACCCGCUAAAGGGGAACUAUCAUUUCCAUGAUAGAGCAAGGGGUGUCUAAGCCUACCGAGAGCCUUGGGGCCACAACAUCACUGGGGAAGCGGACCAACCCGUGGCCACUCAAAAGCGGUACUAAUGACCAAGUGCCCUGGAGCCCAAGCCGGCCUCCGGCAUGGGCUUCUGCACAACAAAAGACAGAAUGGCAAGAGAGCAAAAGUGAUGGGGACAGGGUAAGGAAGGGAACCCCCACCUCUGAAGCGGUGAACAGCACUGGGGAGGGACAGGACUGGGGACCUGGAACUCCUCUGUCCUUGGACACAGAAAAAAAAAGCCAUGGUUUAAAAGAGCGCCGAGCUAGCUCAGUCCGUUAGCGUCCGACUCUUGAUUUCAGCUUAGGUCAUGAUCUCACAGUUUGGAAGUUCAAGCCCCAUGUGGGGCUCUGCGCUGUGUCAGUGUGGAG
Herpailurus yagouaroundi (jaguarundi) is the source of this 1381-nucleotide long non-coding RNA. RefSeq lists it as uncharacterized. NCBI's taxonomy places the organism in Eukaryota, Metazoa, Chordata, Mammalia, Carnivora, Felidae. The record is from RefSeq and is a predicted model, not a curated record. The transcript has 3 exons.